UGGGGAAUAUUGGACAAUGGGCGCAAGCCUGAUCCAGCCAUGCCGCGUGGGUGAAGAAGGCCUUCGGGUUGUAAAGCCCUUUUGUUGGGGAAGAAAUCGUGCAGGUGAAUAUCCUGCGCGGAUGACGGUACCCAAAGAAUAAGCACCGGCUAACUUCGUGCCAGCAGCCGCGGUAAUACGAAGGGUGCAAGCGUUACUCGGAAUUACUGGGCGUAAAGCGUGCGUAGGCGGUUCGUUAAGUCCGUUGUGAAAGCCCUGGGCUCAACCUGGGAAUUGCAGUGGAUACUGGCGAGCUAGAGUACGGUAGAGGAUGGUGGAAUUCCCGGUGUAGCGGUGAAAUGCGUAGAGAUCGGGAGGAACAUCUGUGGCGAAGGCGACUGCCUGGACCAGCACUGACACUGAGGCACGAAAGCGUGGGGAGCAAACA
Molecule: ribosomal RNA, 427 nt
Filed under: uncultured bacterium
Lineage: Bacteria
Description: bacterial SSU rRNA
Rfam family: Bacterial small subunit ribosomal RNA
Source: RNAcentral